AGUCUGGUGCCAGCAGCUGCGGUAAUACCAGCUCCAAUAGCGUAUAUUAGAGUUGUUGCAGUUAAAAAGCUCGUAGUUGGACUUGUGUGCGCUGUCCGCGGGUGGCCUGCGCCCAAAAGGGCGUUUCGGUUCGGCCCCGGUGGCGCCUUGAAAUCUGCAGCUGGGGGGACGUUGGCCUUAACUGGUCGGCGACCGCACGCCGGCUGCUCGGUUACUGUGAGUAAAUUAGAGUGUUCAAGGCAGGCAUUGGGUGCAAUUGAAUACAUUAGCAUGGAAUAAUAAAAUAUGGCUCCUGCCGUAUUUUGUUGGUUUGACUGGUGGGAGUAAUGAUUGAUAGGGACGGUUGGGGGUGCUAGUAUUGAGCGGCCAGAGGUGAAAUUCAUGGAUUCGCUCAAGACUAACUUAUGCGAAAGCAUUCACCAAGGACGUCCUCUUUAAUCAAGAACGAAAGUUGGGGGAUCGAAGACGAUCAGAUACCGUCGUAGUCUCAACCAUAAACUAUGUCGACUUGGGAUCGGCGGUAGUUUUUUCAUUAAGACACUGUCGGGACCACGGGAGAAAUCAAAGUGUCUGGACUCUGGGGGAAGUAUGGUCGCAAGGCUGAAACUUGAAGGAAUUGACGGAAGGGCACCACCAGGAGUGGAGCCUGCGGCUUAAUUUGACCCAACACGGGGAAACUUACCAGGUCCAGAGAUGUAGAGGAUUGACAGAUUGAAGCUCUUUCUUGAUCACUUCGGUGGUGGUGCAUGGCCGUUCUUAGUUGGUGGAGUGAUUUGUCUGGUUAAUUCCGUUAACGAACGAGACCUCAGCCUGCUAGUGUAGUCGGCUGGAUUGCCUUUGGCGACCGUGAUUUCGACUUCUUAGAGGGACAAUCGACGCGCAGUCGAUGGAAGUUUGAGGCAAUAACAGGUCUGUGACCCCUUAGAUGUUCUGGGCCGCACGCGCGCUACACUGCUGGGCUCAGCGAGUUUUACUUGGCCGAGAGGCCCGGUCAAUCUUGUGAAAUCCCAGCGUGCUUGGGCUCGCCUCCUGCAACUGGAGGCGCCAACGAGGAAUUCCUAGUAGACGCAGGUCAUCAACCUGCAUCGAUUACGUCCCUGCCCUUUGUACACACCGCCCGUCGUUCCAUAAGAGUGAGGCAUCCGGUGAAUUCUCGGGAGAGCCUGGGCGUGGCCAGCAAUGGUCUGCUCGGGUUUGAACUUGCAUAAACUUGGUGCCUAUGAUUAGGG
RNAcentral lists this ribosomal RNA (1229 nucleotides) under metagenome. Its description in RNAcentral is "SSU rRNA". It matches the Rfam family "Eukaryotic small subunit ribosomal RNA", at positions 558 to 1783 of the family's 1831-position model. The record is from RNAcentral.